GGAGAGCUGGCUGAGUGGUCGAAAGCGCUCCCCUGCUAAGGGAGUAUACCCUGAAAAGGGUAUCGAGGGUUCGAAUCCCUCGCUCUCCG
RNAcentral lists this transfer RNA (89 nucleotides) under Balneolaceae bacterium. Its description in RNAcentral is "tRNA-Ser". It matches the Rfam family "tRNA". From Rfam's summary of the family: Transfer RNA (tRNA) molecules are approximately 80 nucleotides in length. Their secondary structure includes four short double-helical elements and three loops (D, anti-codon, and T loops). Further hydrogen bonds mediate the characteristic L-shaped molecular structure. tRNAs have two regions of fundamental functional importance: the anti-codon, which is responsible for specific mRNA codon recognition, and the 3' end, to which the tRNAs corresponding amino acid is attached (by aminoacyl-tRNA synthetases). tRNAs cope with the degeneracy of the genetic code in two manners: having more than one tRNA (with a specific anti-codon) for a particular amino acid; and 'wobble' base-pairing, i.e. permitting non-standard base-pairing at the 3rd anti-codon position. The record is from RNAcentral. Lineage: Bacteria; Pseudomonadati; Balneolota; Balneolia; Balneolales; Balneolaceae.